RNAcentral lists this ribosomal RNA (253 nucleotides) under uncultured bacterium. Its description in RNAcentral is "partial 16S ribosomal RNA". It matches the Rfam family "Bacterial small subunit ribosomal RNA", at positions 524 to 776 of the family's 1533-position model. The record is from RNAcentral.
UACGUAGGGUGCGAGCGUUAAUCGGAAUUAUUGGGCGUAAAGAGCUCGUAGGCGGUUUGUCGCGUCUGCCGUGAAAGUCCGGGGCUCAACUCCGGAUCUGCGGUGGGUACGGGCAGACUAGAGUGAUGUAGGGGAGACUGGAAUUCCUGGUGUAGCGGUGGAAUGCGCAGAUAUCAGGAGGAACACCGGUGGCGAAGGCGGGUCUCUGGGCAGUAACUGACGCUGAGGAGCGAAAGCGUGGGGAGCGAACAGG